CUACGGGGUGGCAGCAGUGGGGAAUAUUGGACAAUGGGGGCAACCCUGAUCCAGCAAUGCCGCGUGUGUGAAGAAGGCCUGCGGGUUGUAAAGCACUUUCAAUAGGGAGGAAAAGCUUUGGGUUAAUACCCCGAAGUCUUGACGUUACCUUUAGAAGAAGCACCGGCUAACUCUGUGCCAGCAGCCGCGGUAAUACAGAGGGUGCGAGCGUUAAUCGGAAUUACUGGGCGUAAAGCGCGCGUAGGCGGUUUGAUAAGUCAGAUGUGAAAGCCCCGGGCUUAACCUGGGAACUGCAUUUGAUACUGUCAAACUAGAGUAUGGUAGAGGGAAGUGGAAUUCCGCAUGUAGCGGUGAAAUGCGUAGAGAUGCGGAGGAACACCAGUGGCGAAGGCGACUUUCUGGACCAAUACUGACACUGAGGUGCGAAAGCGUGGGGAGCAAACAGGAUUAGAUACCCCAGUAGUC
This 465-nucleotide ribosomal RNA is filed under the name uncultured bacterium. RNAcentral describes it as "partial 16S ribosomal RNA". It matches the Rfam family "Bacterial small subunit ribosomal RNA", at positions 339 to 795 of the family's 1533-position model. The record is from RNAcentral.